This 260-nucleotide long non-coding RNA is filed under the name Elaeis guineensis (African oil palm). RNAcentral describes it as "long non-coding RNA (EGUI_LNC076381)". The record is from RNAcentral. Lineage: Eukaryota; Viridiplantae; Streptophyta; Magnoliopsida; Arecales; Arecaceae.
UGAGAAGCUAUAUGGCAAGCUUUGGAAGUCUCUCUUCUGCUGUGGAUGGAAUUGGUGGCAAGGUUGGCCUUUUAUAGUGAGGAUAGUAAUUAAUCACAUUAAUCAGGUGUCGAAGGUCAUCUGGUUCUCUAUGGCAAGCUUUGGAAGUCUCUCUUCUGCUGUGGAUGGAAUUGGUGGCAAGGUUGGCCUUUUAUAGUGAGGAUAGUAAUUAAUCACAUUAAUCAGGUGUCGAAGGUCAUCUGGGUCCCAGUUUGUCAUGG